CAGCAGCCGCGGUAAUACCGGCGGCCCGAGUGGCGGUCACUCUUAUUGGGCUUAAAGCGUCCGUAGCCGGGUUGGGAAAUCCUCCGGGAAAUCUGGCCGCUUAACGGUCAGAAUGCCGGAGGAUACUCCCAGCCUAGGGAGCGGGAGAGGCCGAGGGGAUUCCCGGAGUAGGGGGGAAAUCCUAUAAUCCCGGGAGGACCACCUGUGGCGAAGGCGCUCGGCUGGAACGCGUCCGACGGUGAGGGACGAAGGCCAGGGGAGCAAACCGGAUUAGAUACCCGGGUAGUCCUGGCUGUAAACGAUGCGGACUUUGUGUCGGACAAGCUAUGAGCUUGUCCGGUGCCGGAGGGAAACCGUUAAGUCCGCCGCCUGGGGAGUACGGCCGCAAGGCUGAAACUUAAAGGAAUUGGCGGG
This 414-nucleotide ribosomal RNA is filed under the name uncultured microorganism. RNAcentral describes it as "bacterial SSU rRNA". It matches the Rfam family "Archaeal small subunit ribosomal RNA", at positions 459 to 872 of the family's 1478-position model. The record is from RNAcentral.